GCUAAAUUCCUCCCUCUCAGAGACAAAUUCAGGGUCAUCAGCAAACAACAGCUGUCUUCUACACUGCCAGCUUCUACGAGGGAAUAAUAGAGUAGUAGUGUAGCUGAGUCUUAGAUAUAAGUUUGUUAUAAGUUUGUUAUGCUGUUGUGCUGACGUGGCAUAAUCUGUUAUGCCACUGCUCAUCUAUAUAAGAGCUUCUGUAAUCUUCUAUUUUAAAUCAAUGAAUAUAAUAUUCU
Molecule: long non-coding RNA, 236 nt
Filed under: Lathyrus oleraceus (garden pea)
Lineage: Eukaryota; Viridiplantae; Streptophyta; Magnoliopsida; Fabales; Fabaceae
Description: Pisum sativum (pea) long non-coding RNA (PSAT_LNC026439)
Source: RNAcentral